AGGGUGAGCCUAGGGUGGAGUGUGAGGGCUGCAGGGAAGCUUUCUCUUGAUUGCAGGGUAAGAGAAGAAGAAAUACAUACCUUGGUGACAGAUAAACAGAGGGGUGUGUGUGCUGUGUGAAGCCAUCUGAACUGACCAGCCAGUGCAGUUCACCAGGUAGCGACAGAAUUGCUCUGUGACAACUUUAUAAAGAUGAGGUGAAAUCUGAAUAAAAAGACUGUCACUGAGCUAAGCAGCCUGUGAAGAGCCCAAAAGAGCAUUAAUGGGAUUAUUUUCUUCUUUGCCAUUAUACCAGACUCUAAAACUAUAUGCUAGGUUUGACCCCCCAACAAUAGGAGAAGUUCAACAAGAAGGCCUUGAUCCCAUAAGAAGCUGUGAGGAGGCAGAUCCCUGCAUCAACACUGAGCCACACGGAUGUCAAUGGCACUCUAUGUAGAUGGUAGAGUCAGCCUGCAGGAUCAGACCAAAAUAUCAGAAAUGAAAGAUGCUGUCUCUGAAAUGGAAGAUUUUUGCUUCCUACUGGUGAAUGAUGCCAAAGAGACUGAUAGCCAUCAGAAUACCAGAAAACAAUUUUGAAGACUAUACUAAUGCUCAGAUGUAUACCUGAAAACUACAAGACAUCAUUACAGGGCCAUUAUACAAUGCAAAGUCACUUCAAGAACUGUUGUUUCCCAGCAGGCCAGAACAG
Mauremys reevesii (Reeves's turtle) is the source of this 688-nucleotide long non-coding RNA. RefSeq lists it as uncharacterized. The record is from RefSeq and is a predicted model, not a curated record. NCBI's taxonomy places the organism in Eukaryota, Metazoa, Chordata, Testudines, Geoemydidae. The transcript is spliced from 3 exons.